This 77-nucleotide transfer RNA is filed under the name Candidatus Peribacter riflensis. Its description in RNAcentral is "tRNA-Gly". It matches the Rfam family "tRNA". Rfam says of the family: Transfer RNA (tRNA) molecules are approximately 80 nucleotides in length. The record is from RNAcentral. Lineage: Bacteria; Candidatus Peregrinibacteriota; Candidatus Peribacteria; Candidatus Peribacterales. RNAcentral also lists the same sequence under 23 other names.
GCGGAUGUAGCUCAGUUGGCUAGAGCGUCGCCUUGCCAAGGCGAAGGUCGCGGGUUCGAACCCCGUCAUCCGCUCCA